AUUCAAAAGUAAGAACAAGAAGACCUGAUUCAUCAUGAUUUAGGAAUGGCUUGUAGGAUAGACUGGGGACAUAACCACACACUUUUUGCUUUCAAAAUGUAUAACUGAGCAGUUAGCAGUUAGCUGUCUUUUGUUUCCAACCUAAUUCAAUUGAGAAGUGAUAUAAGAGGAAAGAAAUAUCCCAAUUGCAGAGAAGUCUUCAGUCAAGUCUCAAGAUAAUUUUUUUAAGUGAUGUCAAUGACAUAAAACAAAGAGGAAAGGUCUGUGUCGUUGCUUAAUGAUUUCACGUUUUUGCCUUCCAGGAGACAGAGCUACUGGAUCUCAGCCUUGUCAAAGAUGCCAGAUGUGGGAGACACGCCAAAGCUCCCAAGGACCCCAAAUUACGUGAACUUUUGGAUGUGGGGAACAUCGGGCGCCUGGAGCAGCGCAUGAUCACAGUGGUGUAUGGGCCUGACCUCGUGAACAUCUCCCAUUUGAAUCUCGUGGCUUUCCAAGAAGAAGUGGCCAAGGAAUGGACAAAUGAGGUUUUCAGUUUGGCAACAAACCUGCUGGCCCAAAACAUGUCCAGGGAUGCAUUUCUGGAAAAAGCCUAUACUAA
This 598-nucleotide small RNA is filed under the name Pan troglodytes (chimpanzee). RNAcentral's name for it is "retained intron". Lineage: Eukaryota; Metazoa; Chordata; Mammalia; Primates; Hominidae. The record is from RNAcentral.